This 29-nucleotide non-coding RNA is filed under the name Cricetulus griseus (Chinese hamster). Lineage: Eukaryota; Metazoa; Chordata; Mammalia; Rodentia; Cricetidae. The record is from RNAcentral.
GGGUCAAAGCCCAGAUGGUUACGUUUAGA